GCAGCGAGGCCUUUGAAUCUUGCACACAAGAUAAAUAAAUCGUCUCUGUCGGCUCAUUCCGAGCAUUAGAGUAAGUCAGUAGCUGCACACAUGUGUGAGGUUUCAGCUCAACGUUCAGGCUACAAACAAACACGUUUAGCAUGCGCAAGCUGUCUCGUCGGACAAAGUUGAAAAGGUUGUUGCUGUGACUGACGACAGCUUUCAAGCGCCGCCGCAACGCUGCGAGCGAGCUAGCGGCAGCGCCUGCUAACGGGGUACACUCCCCAGCAAUGGCGGGAAGAAGAGCGCCAGAGACGGUCAAGACAUUUUUUUGAAAUUGAGAAACGGCCAAGACGCCUCCGCUCGCUUCCUGCCGACAAACGUUGUCAGCGUAGCGCUGUCACGUCAACCGUUGUCGGUGGAGACACGCCUUGUUUUUACCUUAGCAGAAGACUCGGCCGCCAUGUCGCCGACACGUCACGUGCCUGUCGAACGCCACAACAACAUAUACGUCAGCUUCCGGUGAGAGCGUCGCCCCCUGGUGGCCGGCGUCCAGCACGGCUUCCUCCACAACGCUGAUGCUGUGACUGUGCAUGAUGUCUUGCAGCAUGUUGAAGAUUUCCUCAGCACGUGCGCACUUGAACGCAAAGAUACCUACGCCGCACGUAAACACACGCGCAUAAUGACAUCACCAAUACAAUAUGCAAAAAAUGUACAGCAAAUGCGUUCCAAGUGACGCUGGCGCCUACUGGUUAGAAGGAACCAAAAACAAUAAACAAUCUUUCAAA
Long non-coding RNA from Syngnathus typhle (broad-nosed pipefish), 767 nucleotides. RefSeq lists it as uncharacterized. The record is from RefSeq and is a predicted model, not a curated record. Lineage: Eukaryota; Metazoa; Chordata; Actinopteri; Syngnathiformes; Syngnathidae. The transcript is spliced from 2 exons.